GGUAGAAUGGCUGAGACUUAGGCGAUAAAUUGUAAAUUUAUUAAGGAGAAGAAGUUCUCUUCUACCA
RNAcentral lists this transfer RNA (67 nucleotides) under Sinochlora sinensis. RNAcentral describes it as "tRNA-Tyr". RNAcentral also lists the same sequence under 1 other name. Lineage: Eukaryota; Metazoa; Arthropoda; Insecta; Orthoptera; Tettigoniidae. The record is from RNAcentral.